AGAGUUUGAUCAUGGCUCAGGACGAACGCUGGCGACGUGCUUAACACAUGCAAGUCGAACGGUGAACUUGGGAGCUUGCUCCUGGGGGAUCAGUGGCGAACGGGUGAGUAACACGUGAGCAAUCUGCCCCUUGACUCUGGGAUAAGCGUUGGAAACGACGUCUAAUACCGGAUACGACCAUCCCUGGCAUCGGGAGGUGGUGGAAAGAAUUUCGGUCAAGGAUGAGCUCGCGGCCUAUCAGCUAGUUGGUGAGGUAAUGGCUCACCAAGGCGACGACGGGUAGCCGGCCUGAGAGGGUGACCGGCCACACUGGGACUGAGACACGGCCCAGACUCCUACGGGAGGCAGCAGUGGGGAAUAUUGCACAAUGGGCGCAAGCCUGAUGCAGCAACGCCGCGUGAGGGACGACGGCCUUCGGGUUGUAAACCUCUUUUAGCAGGGAAGAAGCGAAAGUGACGGUACCUGCAGAAAAAGCACCGGCUAACUACGUGCCAGCAGCCGCGGUAAUACGUAGGGUGCAAGCGUUGUCCGGAAUUAUUGGGCGUAAAGAGCUCGUAGGCGGUUUGUCGCGUCUGCUGUGAAAUCCCGAGGCUCAACCUCGGGCCUGCAGUGGGUACGGGCAGACUAGAGUGCGGUAGGGGAGAUUGGAAUUCCUGGUGUAGCGGUGGAAUGCGCAGAUAUCAGGAGGAACACCGAUGGCGAAGGCAGAUCUCUGGGCCGUAACUGACGCUGAGGAGCGAAAGCGUGGGGAGCGAACAGGAUUAGAUACCCUAGUAGUCC
Molecule: ribosomal RNA, 780 nt
Filed under: uncultured bacterium
Lineage: Bacteria
Description: bacterial SSU rRNA
Rfam family: Bacterial small subunit ribosomal RNA
Source: RNAcentral